AUCCAGCUGACAAGUCCUAAAUAAGAUGAAACAUACGUCCUAGAU
RNAcentral lists this non-coding RNA (45 nucleotides) under Schistosoma curassoni. Lineage: Eukaryota; Metazoa; Platyhelminthes; Trematoda; Strigeidida; Schistosomatidae. The record is from RNAcentral.